UAGGGAAUCUUCCGCAAUGGGCGAAAGCCUGACGGAGCAAUGCCGCGUGAGUGAUGAAGGUUUUCGGAUCGUAAAGCUCUGUUGCCAGGGAAGAACGCUUGGGAGAGUAACUGCUCUCAAGGUGACGGUACCUGAGAAGAAAGCCCCGGCUAACUACGUGCCAGCAGCCGCGGUAAUACGUAGGGGGCAAGCGUUGUCCGGAAUUAUUGGGCGUAAAGCGCGCGCAGGCGGUCAUUUAAGUCUGGUGUUUAAUCCCGGGGCUCAACCCCGGAUCGCACUGGAAACUGGGUGACUUGAGUGCAGAAGAGGAGAGUGGAAUUCCACGUGUAGCGGUGAAAUGCGUAGAUAUGUGGAGGAACACCAGUGGCGAAGGCGACUCUCUGGGCUGUAACUGACGCUGAGGCGCGAAAGCGUGGGGAGCAAACAGGAUUAGAUACCCU
Molecule: ribosomal RNA, 440 nt
Filed under: Paenibacillus taichungensis
Lineage: Bacteria; Bacillati; Bacillota; Bacilli; Caryophanales; Paenibacillaceae
Description: bacterial SSU rRNA
Rfam family: Bacterial small subunit ribosomal RNA
Source: RNAcentral